GAUGAACGCUGGCGGCGUGCCUAAUACAUGCAAGUCGAGCGGCAGCAUGUCUCUCACCACCCUUCGGUAGUUGUGACCAUUAAAGUUCACAAAUAACUCGGGGAAGUGGUGAGAGAUGAUGGCGAGCGGCGGACGGCAGAGUAACGCGUAGGAACAUACCCAAACUGAGGGAUAACUGCUCGAAAGAGUAGCUAAUACCGCAUGUGAUCUUCGGAUUAAAGCUUCGGCGGUUUGGGAAUGGCCCUGCGUCCGAUUAGCUGUUGGUGAGGUAAAAAGCUCACCAAGGCGACGAUCGGUAGCUGGUCU
This 306-nucleotide ribosomal RNA is filed under the name uncultured bacterium. RNAcentral describes it as "bacterial SSU rRNA". It matches the Rfam family "Bacterial small subunit ribosomal RNA", at positions 28 to 293 of the family's 1533-position model. The record is from RNAcentral.